CUGCCAGUCAGCAUGCGGUCGUUUCGGGGAUGCUGCAGUCGAAGCGUCCCUCGUUGGUAGCGGGAAUAGGCCCCAUUCUUUCAGUAAGCGCACUCCCACCUCCGGUUCGUUGACGAUAUGCGUUUUGGCAUUCCUCCAUAUAAGUAGUUUUGUAGGAUAGCCCCAUCUAUAUUGUAUGUCGUUGUUUCUCAGGGACUUUGUUACGUUGAUGAACUCUCUGCGUCUG
Pelobates cultripes (western spadefoot toad) is the source of this 226-nucleotide non-coding RNA. The record is from the annotation of a GenBank genome assembly. NCBI's taxonomy places the organism in Eukaryota, Metazoa, Chordata, Amphibia, Anura, Pelobatidae.